Molecule: long non-coding RNA, 3006 nt
Organism: Salvelinus fontinalis (brook trout)
Lineage: Eukaryota; Metazoa; Chordata; Actinopteri; Salmoniformes; Salmonidae
Exons: 3
Source: RefSeq, a predicted model, not a curated record
UUAUUUUUAACAUUGUUUUCAGAAAUUCUGGGAGAUGGCGAAGCGGGUCAGCGAGUUCAUGGUUUGGAAGAAGGUGGAGUGUCCGUUUGAGAAGGACCGCAAAAUCCUCCAGUACCUGCUCACCGCACCGGUUUUCAGCGAGGACACUCUGUAUCUGACCUCUUAUGAGAGUGAAGGCCCUGAGAACCACAUGGAGAAGGACAGAUGGAAGUCUCUGAGAUCCACUCUGCUAAGUAGAGUCUAGAGCUCCUGAACAGAACCACGUCAAACCCAUCUUGACAACCAAGCCUUACCCUGCGGUGAUGUCCGAAUAGCAGUGUCCCUGUUCGGAAGGGAAACAACCAUCUGUACUGUACUAGUCAGCAGGACAGUAUCUGUUUACGUUCCUCACUCAUGGAGUUUUAGGUGAAGAAUCCCUCCAGUCGUGUGGCUCUUCUUCUUCUACGUUUCCAGGCUUUUUUCAUCUCUUUGUAUGAAUUUUGUAGUCUUUUAUUAAAGACGUUACGACGACCAUCACGGCGACAAGAGGAAAACCCAGGGAGAUGCUUUUUGUUGUUGUCCUUUUAUCGUCUGCUGAAAACCUUUUUUUUGAAACACACCAUGUAUAUAUUCACACCAGGUGAAACACGAUUGAUGCAAAUUGUCCCCCUGUGACAUUUCUUCCAGGUGUAUUUUUCCGUUCUACAGAAGCUAGGAGUUGUCUGCUGGUUGGCCAACUGACUCAGUUCCAACAGGUGGAACAAACAAGCUGCUUUCGCUCUUCUUGUAAUAAGCCGGCAUUUUGUUAACUGGGAACCAGUAUACUAUGUAAUGGUGUUAAUCCUAACCUACAGCAAUGUUGGUAGAGAUUUAGGAAGCUAACAUUAUUUGUAGUUUUGUUUGUGUGUGUAAUUACGUUUUAAUAUGCAUUUGUUUGUCUGCGGUUAUUGUGUUACCGUUUGGUCGACCAAGCCUCGACAACUUUACCGCUAAAUAUGCUCAAAGUGCAUUGGAUGGCUAAUAUGAUGUCAUUUUUGUUUGUGUUUAUAUAAAGCUUUGUGAUGAUACUCUACAACAGGAAGAAACCUCUUCUCUCCUCAUCCUUUAUCGAUGGGACCCUCAGCCACGGGCAGAGAGGUGUGUGGGGAUUUUGUGAAGAUAGAUAAUGGCACCCUAUUCCCUAUGCACUGCACUAAUGAUAAUCAGUGUUAUAACACUCUGCCACUAGCCGGUAUGUCCCUGAUAAUCAGUGUUAUAACACUCUGCCACUAGCCGGUAUGUCCCUGAUAAUCAGUGUUAUAACACUCAGCCACUAGCCAGUAUGUCCCUGAUAAUCAGUGUUAUAACACUCUGUCACUAGCCAGUAUGUCCCUGAUAAUCAGUGUUAUAACACUCAGCCACUAGCCAGUAUGUCCCUGAUAAUCAGUGUUAUAACACUCAGCCACUAGCCAGUAUGUCCCUGAUAAUCAGUGUUAUAACACUCUGUCACUAGCCAGUAUGUCCCUGAUAAUCAGUGUUAUAACACUCUGCCACUAGCCAGUAUGUCCCUGAUAAUCAGUGUUAUAACACUCAGCCACUAGCCGGUAUGUCCCUGAUAAUCAGUGUUAUAACACUCAGCCACUAGCCAGUAUGUCCCUGAUAAUCAGUGUUAUAACACUCAGCCACUAGCCAGUAUGUCCCUGAUAAUCAGUGUUAUAACACUCUGUCACUAGCCAGUAUGUCCCUGAUAAUCAGUGUUAUAACACUCUGCCACUAGCCAGUAUGUCCCUGAUAAUCAGUGUUAUAACACUCAGCCACUAGCCAGUAUGUCCCUGAUAAUCAGUGUUAUAACACUCUGUCACUAGCCAGUAUGUCCCUGAUAAUCAGUGUUAUAACACUCUGUCACUAGCCAGUAUGUCCCUGAUAAUCAGUGUUAUAACACUCUGUCACUAGCCAGUAUGUCCCUGAUAAUCAGUGUUAUAACACUCAGCCACUAGCCAGUAUGUCCCUGAUAAUCAGUGUUAUAACACUCUGUCACUAGCCAGUAUGUCCCUGAUAAUCAGUGUUAUAACACUCUGUCACUAGCCAGUAUGUCCCUGAUAAUCAGUGUUAUAACACUCUGUCACUAGCCAGUAUGUCCCUGAUAAUCAGUGUUAUAACACUCUGUCACUAGCCAGUAUGUCCCUGAUAAUCAGUGUUAUAACACUCUGCCACUCUGCCAGAAUAAAUAUAGACUUGGAGGACUGGACUACGCUUCUAUCACUCAAGAUUAUCCAUCCUGUGUGAGAGUGGUUGUGCCUACACACACACUGCACUCCCCCCCCAUGAGUUUGGUAGUACAGAAAUACAAUGUGGUUGUAUCGCCCCCUGGUGGUUUAGUUAAGUAAGUGCGGUGGAGGAGCAGAGUUGAGUGAAUGAGUAGAGGAGAUGUGUGUGAGAGCUGAGGAUUUGGAAUGUUUUUCCUCUGUUUAAUGCUGGAUCAAACUUUUCUUAUCCCCUAUAUUUCUUUUCUUCAUAUUGUUAUAAUUAUUUUCACCAAAUGUUGUUUUAUUUAUGAUCCUCUGUGUAGUUAUUAUUUCAUAUUAUGGAUAUUUACGAUUAUUUUAUUGUAUUUCUGCUUAUUUAAUUUUGUACUAGGUACAUAAUAUACUUCAGUAGUUAUCAGAUAUUGGCCUAACAUUUUUUUUUAUACAGGUUUAUAUGAAAACUUUUCAGGUACAAGCUAACACUAUGAAGUAAAAAAUUGUGGGCGCGUUCCAGGACGAAUACAUUGCAGGUGUUGCAUAGCCGAUGUCUAUCCAGGCAUUGUGAGAUCUGGCAGGCGUCUGUAAUUUAGUCCGUCUGGAACGCGGCCAUUGACUGAUGUCUAGCUUGCCUUGUCUUUGCAUUUCUCCUCUCUACAUGAUAUUGUGGUGUAAAUUAUUCUGUUUUUCCUACCUGUGUUUAUCUGUUUUGUAUUUGGCCUGUUAUGAUGGAAUAGAGGAUCUGUUUAUUACUGAGUUAGUUGUGUUAAAAGAGAAAGUUAAUAAAAGAUUGCCUAAAAGGUGA